UCCUACUGCGGUUGUGACCUUCAUCCCUGCCGCCAGUGCAUACUUGGAACACUACGGAAGUAAUGUCCUGUAAGCUGGCCCUGGAGCCUGGCAAUCUUCUGCAAUCGCAGCAUGGUCUAAUAUCCAGUAAUUGCGUUCAUAGACUUCGUGUGCGAAUGUAUCUGCAAGGACUACGCGGAUGAUCGCGCUGGUGACUAGAUGGUCACUAGAGUGCCCUGCAGUCCCAUAUGCAUGAUUUGAAAUAGUGAGGCUAUGGGCAUUUUACGCUAAGAAGUUCCUGAUGACUCCAAACGAUCGGGGACCUUCUCCCUAUUAUGAGGAGGCGUGGCACUAUAGCGAUUUAAUAAUAAAUUGACUACAAAAUAACGUUGAAAAAGGAGUCCUUGACAACAAUCUGACUGCAAGUGAUCGGGGAUAUUCUUGCAAAUCCGAGACGGCGUGGCACGAUCAGAUCGAUCCAAGGAAUGGCUGAGAAAACUAAAUAUGAUGAAAAAUAUGCUCCUUGAUGCGGAGGGACUCCAUCAAAUCAGGGAAGUUGUUUGAUGACAGGAAAACAUCGCACGUCUUGAUCUUCCAAUCGUCCAAUCCUCAACAUACACAUUUUCUACAUGCGAACUGCAUAUCGGAUGAAAUUAUCAACAGAUACCCGUGAACGGGUUCCGAAAGGAAGAAGAUUUUGAUUCCAACUGAUCAGAAACUCGAUGAUGAUCACGAUAGAGGUGAUAGAUGCUACAAAAUGGCACUUCUAUGUAACAUAAAAGCAUGCCGAAAACGCA
RNAcentral lists this small RNA (776 nucleotides) under Drosophila pseudoobscura pseudoobscura. Its description in RNAcentral is "GA32169". Lineage: Eukaryota; Metazoa; Arthropoda; Insecta; Diptera; Drosophilidae. The record is from RNAcentral.